RNAcentral lists this ribosomal RNA (1181 nucleotides) under Staphylococcus argenteus. RNAcentral describes it as "bacterial SSU rRNA". It matches the Rfam family "Bacterial small subunit ribosomal RNA", at positions 83 to 1250 of the family's 1533-position model. Lineage: Bacteria; Bacillati; Bacillota; Bacilli; Caryophanales; Staphylococcaceae. The record is from RNAcentral.
UCUCUGAUGUUAGCGGCGGACGGGUGAGUAACACGUGGAUAACCUACCUAUAAGACUGGGAUAACUUCGGGAAACCGGAGCUAAUACCGGAUAAUAUUUUGAACCGCAUGGUUCAAAAGUGAAAGACGGUCUUGCUGUCACUUAUAGAUGGAUCCGCGCUGCAUUAGCUAGUUGGUAAGGUAACGGCUUACCAAGGCAACGAUGCAUAGCCGACCUGAGAGGGUGAUCGGCCACACUGGAACUGAGACACGGUCCAGACUCCUACGGGAGGCAGCAGUAGGGAAUCUUCCGCAAUGGGCGAAAGCCUGACGGAGCAACGCCGCGUGAGUGAUGAAGGUCUUCGGAUCGUAAAACUCUGUUAUUAGGGAAGAACAUAUGUGUAAGUAACUGUGCACAUCUUGACGGUACCUAAUCAGAAAGCCACGGCUAACUACGUGCCAGCAGCCGCGGUAAUACGUAGGUGGCAAGCGUUAUCCGGAAUUAUUGGGCGUAAAGCGCGCGUAGGCGGUUUUUUAAGUCUGAUGUGAAAGCCCACGGCUCAACCGUGGAGGGUCAUUGGAAACUGGAAAACUUGAGUGCAGAAGAGGAAAGUGGAAUUCCAUGUGUAGCGGUGAAAUGCGCAGAGAUAUGGAGGAACACCAGUGGCGAAGGCGACUUUCUGGUCUGUAACUGACGCUGAUGUGCGAAAGCGUGGGGAUCAAACAGGAUUAGAUACCCUGGUAGUCCACGCCGUAAACGAUGAGUGCUAAGUGUUAGGGGGUUUCCGCCCCUUAGUGCUGCAGCUAACGCAUUAAGCACUCCGCCUGGGGAGUACGACCGCAAGGUUGAAACUCAAAGGAAUUGACGGGGACCCGCACAAGCGGUGGAGCAUGUGGUUUAAUUCGAAGCAACGCGAAGAACCUUACCAAAUCUUGACAUCCUUUGACAACUCUAGAGAUAGAGCCUUCCCCUUCGGGGGACAAAGUGACAGGUGGUGCAUGGUUGUCGUCAGCUCGUGUCGUGAGAUGUUGGGUUAAGUCCCGCAACGAGCGCAACCCUUAAGCUUAGUUGCCAUCAUUAAGUUGGGCACUCUAAGUUGACUGCCGGUGACAAACCGGAGGAAGGUGGGGAUGACGUCAAAUCAUCAUGCCCCUUAUGAUUUGGGCUACACACGUGCUACAAUGGACAAUACAAAGGGCAGC